Pan troglodytes (chimpanzee) is the source of this 989-nucleotide long non-coding RNA. RefSeq lists it as uncharacterized. NCBI's taxonomy places the organism in Eukaryota, Metazoa, Chordata, Mammalia, Primates, Hominidae. The transcript has 2 exons. The record is from RefSeq and is a predicted model, not a curated record.
CCCUGGGUAUGGAGGGGAGGGAGUCAGGUUGUCCACACCCACAGUGGGAGCAGUGCCUGGCUACGGUCUCAGUCUAGGGGAGGAGGGCCAGGCCAGCUGCUGCCCCCAAGCGUUUGCCCAUCGCCUACCUGAGCAGGCCAGAAAAGCUGGGGAGAAUGAUUCACCUAAAAGGAUCCUCCUCAGGAGAAUCCCAGUACCUGCCUCAACGCUGCAGGAUGGGCAGGAGUCUUCCCCCAACCCACAGCACACACCUGACUCCUCCCUUCCAGGGAAAAGACCUCAGGGCUGCUGGUGAGUCAGAAAUAGGAAGACAUGGGGCUAACGGGGCAACAGCCAGGGAUCUGGAACCCAUACCCCUGAACUCAGAACACAGGAAAAGAAGACAAGCCCGAAGAGGCCAGGAGGCAGAUACACGGGCUGGCCAGAGAAAUGGAGGCAAACACACACAUGCACUCAGGAGCAAGGCAGAAAGAUGUGAGUUCACCAAGACAGGUGUGCACCGACCCAUCACAGACACAGACCCAGGCUGGCCAGGGGCUCCACAUACAGGCUGACCAGACGGACAGGUGGACAGAGGAAGAACAGACCAGGAACAACCAGACAGGACAGGCAGACACACAGCCUGAGGCCUUGUGCUUUGCCCUUGACCUCCGUCCCACAUCUGGGGAUAGCUACUCCAGGCUGAAGAGCAGCCCAGAGCUGCAAGGCCCAAAGCUGUGAAGAUUCUGAGCCCCAAUCUCUGGAGGAAGAAACGCACACAGAGGCUCAGGCCCCAGGGAAAGGAGGAGAAGCCGGGCGCAGGGCUGCUAAGGACCAGAGCCUCUCCCAGCCUCACCACUGCUGGCAGGAUUCAAGUCUUAAGAAAACUGGGACUCCCCAGCCAGACUCGGGGAAGGAGGCUGCCAAUGAAGCCUCCAGCGCCCCAUCACUCCUCUGGACUCCUAGGACCCCCACCUUCAAAACCACAAAGAUACAAUGAUAAACCAUCA